GACGAACGCUGGCGGCGUGCUUAACACAUGCAAGUCGAACGGAAAGGCCCUGCGUUUGUGGGGUGCUCGAGUGGCGAAAGGGUGAGUAACACGUGAGUAACCUGCCCUUGACUUUGGGAUAACUUCAGGAAACUGGGGCUAAUACCGGAUAGGAGCUCCUGCUGCAUGGUGGGGGUUGGAAAGUUUCGGCGGUUGGGGAUGGACUCGCGGCUUAUCCGCUUGUUGGUGGGGUAGUGGUUUUCCAAGGCUUUGACGGGUAGCCGGCCUGAGAGGGUGACCGGCGACAUGGGGACUGAGAUACGGCCCAGACUGCUACGGGAGGCAGCAGUGGGGAAUAUUGCACAAUGGGCGGAAGCCUGAUGCAGCAACGCCGCGUGCGGGAUGACGGCCUUCGGGUUGUAAACCGCUUUCGCAUGUGACGAAGAGUGAGUGACGGUAAUGGGUAAAGAAGCACCGGCUAACUACGUG
Molecule: ribosomal RNA, 468 nt
Filed under: uncultured bacterium
Lineage: Bacteria
Description: partial 16S ribosomal RNA
Rfam family: Bacterial small subunit ribosomal RNA
Source: RNAcentral